RNAcentral lists this ribosomal RNA (279 nucleotides) under uncultured bacterium. RNAcentral's name for it is "partial 16S ribosomal RNA". It matches the Rfam family "Bacterial small subunit ribosomal RNA", at positions 506 to 784 of the family's 1533-position model. The record is from RNAcentral.
UGCCAGCCGCCGCGGUAAUACGGAGGGUGCAAGCAUUAAUCGGAUUUAUUGGGCGUAAAGGGGGUCUAGGUGGAAAUAUAAGUCAGACGUGAAAUCCCGGGGCUCAAUCUCGGAACUGCAUCUGAAACUGUAUAUCUAGAGGGUAGGCGGAGAAAGCGGAAUUCCAUGUGUAGCGGUGAAAUGCGUAGAUAUAUGGAAGAACACCUGUGGCGAAAGCGGCUUUCUAGCUUAUUCCUGACACUCAAGCCCGAAAGCAAGGGGAGCGAACAGGAUUAGAUA